GACGAACGCUGGCGGCGUGCCUAAUACAUGCAAGUUGAGCGCUGAAGGUUGGUACUUGUACCAACUGGAUGAGCAGCGAACGGGUGAGUAACGCGUGGGGAAUCUGCCUUUGAGCGGGGGACAACAUUUGGAAACGAAUGCUAAUACCGCAUAAAAACUUUAAACACAAGUUUUAAGUUUAAAAGAUGCAAUUGCAUCACUCAAAGAUGAUCCCGCGUUGUAUUAGCUAGUUGGUGAGGUAAAGGCUCACCAAGGCGAUGAUACAUAGCCGACCUGAGAGGGUGAUCGGCCACAUUGGGACUGAGACACGGCCCAAACUCCUACGGGAGGCAGCAGUAGGGAAUCUUCGGCAAUGGACGAAAGUCUGACCGAGCAACGCCGCGUGAGUGAAGAAGGUUUUCGGAUCGUAAAACUCGGUUGGUAGAGAAGAACGUUGGUGAGAGUGGAAAGCUCAUCAAGUGACGGUAACUACCCAGAAAGGGACGGCUAACUACGUG
This 497-nucleotide ribosomal RNA is filed under the name uncultured bacterium. RNAcentral's name for it is "partial 16S ribosomal RNA". It matches the Rfam family "Bacterial small subunit ribosomal RNA", at positions 28 to 507 of the family's 1533-position model. The record is from RNAcentral.